RNAcentral lists this ribosomal RNA (301 nucleotides) under uncultured bacterium. RNAcentral describes it as "partial 16S ribosomal RNA". It matches the Rfam family "Bacterial small subunit ribosomal RNA", at positions 512 to 809 of the family's 1533-position model. The record is from RNAcentral.
CAGCCGCCCGGUAAUACGUAGGUCCCGAGCGUUGUCCGGAUUUAUUGGGCGUAAAGCGAGCGCAGGCGGUUAGAUAAGUCUGAAGUUAAAGGCUGUGGCUUAACCAUAGUACGCUUUGGAAACUGUUUAACUUGAGUGCAAGAGGGGAGAGUGGAAUUCCAUGUGUAGCGGUGAAAUGCGUAGAUAUAUGGAGGAACACCGGUGGCGAAAGCGGCUCUCUGGCUUGUAACUGACGCUGAGGCUCGAAAGCGUGGGGAGCAAACAGGAUUAGAUACCCCUGUAGUCCCUGUCUCUUAUACAC